GGUAUUCUUUCGCCAUUUACGGAGACACUGGAAGAGAUGGCAAGGAGUGAGGCAGAUUUAAUCUGCAUUGAAGCAGAAGAAGAAGCCAGGCGGGUUUCACAGCUUGAAAGGGUUACUCGGCUACUUCCAGCGCCUUGCAAGGCUUUGCAUGUGCUGCAGAUAUCAGGCACCUACCCGAAGCAACAUGUCGCAGCAAAAGAUUAUAUAGAACUCAUGACGCAACAGCAGAAGGAGUUUUACCAGAGAAAUAUUGUCUGUGAGUCACCGUCAGACCUAUGUAGGGCCACCAUGGGCCAGUCAAGCUGUGUAAGGUAUGGAAACAAUAGUGACAGAACAUUGUUACUCUUUGCAUGUGUUUAUUCUUCAUACUUGCAACAUUAGGUAUGUUACUCUAAUUUAGGUGGCACAAAGAGAAGAAGUUUCGAAUAAGCAGUACCACAAGCCACACAAUACUCCACGCCCGACGGAGCCCCGAGGAGGUUGCCAGGGCCAUCCUGAACUCAAGGCCAUUUUCUACGGAGGCCACAGCCUAUGGACUCCGUACAGAACCCCAGGCUCGGAUGGAGUUUGAGCACCUACUAGGUGUUGAAGUUGUGGAGAUGGGUUUGCUCAUACACCCAGAUCAGCCUUGGCUGUGUGGCAGCCCUGACGGCAUGUUCUGCCUCUCAGGAGAAACGUGCCUUUUAGAAAUCAAGUGUCCCCACAAGUGUAAGGAAAAGGACAUGUUCAGCAGCUCAGGAGAGAGUAUCCUAGACUACAUCGAGGGGACUGGCAGCAACCGAAGACUGAAGAGGACGCAUAAAUAUUUCACUCAAGUACAGAUAUUACUGUAUCUGUUGAAUGUACACAAGUGCUUUUUUUAUGUAUAUUCCAGCAGACAAAGUGUUGUUAUUGAAGUCAGCAGGGAUGACAUCUUUCUUCACGAGAGCAUCCCAGCCCUUGAGAAAUUUUAUUUCACUUGCCUUCUGCCCGCUGCAGCCGCAGCGAAAUAAAGCAUGUG
Long non-coding RNA from Rhipicephalus sanguineus (brown dog tick), 1000 nucleotides. RefSeq lists it as uncharacterized. Lineage: Eukaryota; Metazoa; Arthropoda; Arachnida; Ixodida; Ixodidae. The transcript is spliced from 3 exons. The record is from RefSeq and is a predicted model, not a curated record.